CUUAGACUAAGCGGUUCACCUAGAUCAUUGACCAAGUGUUGUUCAUCGUUCAUAGAAGAAAGAUUUUACAUCUGAACACAAAACCUUAUCCUCAAAACUACAUGCAACUAAACAAGCAAACUACACGUUAAGACAUGACCUAGAACAAGAGAUCUCAAAUGCAUACAGCAACCUGAGAUAUUAAAAUCUUUCCACCUUGCAU
RNAcentral lists this long non-coding RNA (202 nucleotides) under Nicotiana benthamiana. RNAcentral describes it as "long non-coding RNA (NBEN_LNC033890)". Lineage: Eukaryota; Viridiplantae; Streptophyta; Magnoliopsida; Solanales; Solanaceae. The record is from RNAcentral.